CGCAUCUGUGCAUGCAGCAUAUCAAUAAGCGGAGGAAAAGAAACUAACAAGGAUUCCCCUAGUAACGGCGAGUGAAGCGGGAAGAGCUCAAAUUUGAAAUCUUAAAGGGUUUCCCUUUACGAAUUGUAGUUUAAAGAAGUGUUUUCUGUUGAGGUUUUGGUAAAAGUUCUUUGGAAUAGGACAUCAUAGAGGGUGAGAAUCCCGUAUUUGACCUUUACUUUCAACUUUGUGAUACACUUUCAAAGAGUCGGAUUGUUUGGGAAUGCAGUCCAAAAUGGGUGGUAAAUUUCAUCUAAAGCUAAAUAUUGGCGAGAGACCGAUAGCGAACAAGUACCGUGAGGGAAAGAUGAAAAGAACUUUGAAAAGAGAGUUAAACAGUACGUGAAAUUGUCAAAAGGGAAGCGUUUGACACCAGUGUUGUUUUUCUGAGAAUCAAUUAAAGAACUGUUUAUGCUAAGCUGUUUAGACUUUAUCAGCUAUACUGUUUAGUUUUGAGCUUUUCUUUAAUGCAGCUUUUCAGUUAACAAGUCAACAUCAAUUUCUUUUGCUGUAAAAAAGCUUGAGGAAGGUGACUUGAGAUUCGUCUUAAGUGUUUAUAGCCUCUUGCCUAUGCAGUCGGAGAGAUUGAGGUCUGCAGCGUAGAUCCUUCGGGGCUAAAUGCAUUUGUGCUAAGUUAUAGCAUUUUAUAGGACAACUUGUUGACUAUGAUUUGUCUUGUAGCUUACUCGCUUAUGUUAUUUUACCUACGCUUAGGAUGUUGACAGCAGUAUAGACUGU
Molecule: ribosomal RNA, 777 nt
Filed under: uncultured Neocallimastigales
Lineage: Eukaryota; Fungi; Neocallimastigomycota; Neocallimastigomycetes; Neocallimastigales
Description: partial large subunit ribosomal RNA
Rfam family: Eukaryotic large subunit ribosomal RNA
Source: RNAcentral